Molecule: ribosomal RNA, 449 nt
Filed under: uncultured bacterium
Lineage: Bacteria
Description: partial 16S ribosomal RNA
Rfam family: Bacterial small subunit ribosomal RNA
Source: RNAcentral
AAUGAACGCUGGCGGCAUGCCUAACACAUGCAAGUCGAACGAAGGCUUCGGCCUUAGUGGCGCACGGGUGCGUAACGCGUGGGAAUCUGCCCUCAGGUUCGGAAUAACAGCGAGAAAUUGCUGCUAAUACCGGAUGAUAUCGCGAGAUCAAAGAUUUAUCGCCUGAGGAUGAGCCCGCGUAGGAUUAGCUAGUUGGUGUGGUAAAGGCGCACCAAGGCGACGAUCCUUAGCUGGUCUGAGAGGAUGAUCAGCCACACUGGGACUGAGACACGUCCCGGACUACUACGGGAGGCAGCGUUGGGUAAUAUUGGUCAGUGAGCGAAAGCCUGUUCCAGCAAUUCAGCGUGGGUGAUGAAGGCCUUAGGGUUGUAAAGCUGUUUUGCCCGGGAUGAUAAUGACGGUAACGGGAGAAUAAGCUCCGGCUCACUCCGAGGCAGAAGCUGCAGUAA